CGUGCAGGUGGCUUGGUAAGUUAGGCGUGAAAUCUCCCGGCUCAACUGGGAGAGGUCGUCUAAUACUACCGGGCUUGAGAGCAGAAGAGGAAGAUGGAAUUCCCGGUGUAGUGGUGAAAUGCGUAGAUAUCGGGAGGAACACCAGUGGCGAAGGCGAUCUUCUGGUCUGUUUCUGACACUCAGACGCGACAGCUAGGGUAGUAAACG
Molecule: ribosomal RNA, 207 nt
Filed under: uncultured bacterium
Lineage: Bacteria
Description: partial 16S ribosomal RNA
Rfam family: Bacterial small subunit ribosomal RNA
Source: RNAcentral